Molecule: ribosomal RNA, 1180 nt
Filed under: uncultured bacterium
Lineage: Bacteria
Description: bacterial SSU rRNA
Rfam family: Bacterial small subunit ribosomal RNA
Source: RNAcentral
AAGUCGUGCGACAGACCAGGAAUUGAUUACUUCGGUUUGAUUUUCCUGACGAUGAGCGGCGAACGGGUGCGUAACACGUGAGAAACCUGCCUUAAAGUUCGGGAUAGCUCGGCGAAAGUCGAAUUAAUACCGGAUGUGGCCUAGGGAUAGCAUUUUUCCUUGGUUAAAGCUCGGUCACAGAGCGCUUUUAGAUGGUCUCGCGGUCUAUCAGCUUGUUGGUGAGGUAACGGCUCACCAAGGCUACGACGGAUAACUGACCUGAGAGGAUGAUCAGUCACACUGGAACUGAGACACGGUCCAGACACCUACGGGUGGCAGCAGUCGAGAAUCAUUCACAAUGGGCGCAAGCCUGAUGGUGCGACGCCGCGUGGGGGAUGAAGGGCUUCGGUCUGUAAACCCCUGUCAUCUGUGAGUAAGGCCUCGUAUAAAAGUUACGAGGAUUGAUAUUAGCAGAAGAGGAAGGGACGGCUAACUCUGUGCCAGCAGCCGCGGUAAUACAGAGGUCCCAAGCGUUGUUCGGAUUUACUGGGCGUAAAGGGUGCGUAGGCGGUUAGAAAAGUUUGGUGUGAAAUCUUCGGGCUCAACCCGGAAACUGCACUGAAAACUAUUUAACUCGAGGAUCGGAGAGGAGAUUGGAAUUCUCAGUGUAGCAGUGAAAUGCGUAGAUAUUGAGAGGAACACCAGUUGCGAAGGCGGAUCUCUGGACGAUUCCUGACGCUGAGGCACGAAAGCUGGGGGAGCGAAGAGGAUUAGAUACCCUCGUAGUCCCAGCCGUAAACGGUGCGCACUUGCUGUGGGCGGAUUCGACCCCGUCCGUGCGAAGCUAACGCGUUAAGUGCGCCGCCUGGGGAGUACGGUCGCAAGAUUAAAACUCAAAGAAAUUGACGGGGGCCUGCACAAGCGGUGGAGUAUGUGGCUUACUUCGACGCACGCGAAGAACCUUACCAGGUCUUGACAUCCUGCGAACUUUCUAGAGAUAGAUGUGCUCGGGAACGCAGUGACAGUGCUGCAUGACUGUCGUCAGCUCGUGUCGUGAGAUGUGGGUAGUCCCGUACGAGCGCAAUCAUUGUCUAGUGCAGCGCGUAUGGCGGAACUCUAAGGAAACUGCGUGACAAUCUGAGAAAGUGGACACUCAGUCAUCAUGGCCUUACAACUGGGCUACCACCGUGCUUCAAUGUCA